UACGGAGGGUGCAAGCGUUGUCCGGAAUCACUGGGCGUAAAGGGCGCGUAGGUGGUGCAGUAAGUCAACGGUGAAAGUUCGGGGCUCAACCCUGAAUCGGCCGUCGAUACUCCUGGGCUCGAGCACUGUAGAGGCAGAUGGAAUUCCGGGUGUAGCGGUGGAAUGCGUAGAGAUCCGGAAGAACACCGGUGGCGAAGGCGGUCUGCUGGGCAGUUGCUGACACUGAGGCGCGACAGCGUGGGGAGCAAACAGG
RNAcentral lists this ribosomal RNA (253 nucleotides) under uncultured bacterium. RNAcentral describes it as "partial 16S ribosomal RNA". It matches the Rfam family "Bacterial small subunit ribosomal RNA", at positions 524 to 776 of the family's 1533-position model. The record is from RNAcentral.